GCAAGUCGAACGAGAACCCACUUCGCGUGGGGGACAGUGGCGAAAGGGCGAGGAACACUAUCGAACGUGCCCCGAGGUGGGGGAUAGCGUCGGGAAACUGACGGUAAUACCCCAUGUGCUCUUCGGAGGAAAGGUUUACCGCCUUGGGAGCGGCGAUCGUCCUAUCAGGUUGUUGGUGAGGUAAAGGCUCACCAAGCCGAAGACGGGUAGCGGGUGUGAGAGCAUGACCCGCCGCAUCGGGACUGAGACACUGCCCGGACUCCUACGGGAGGCUGCAGUAACGAAUAUUCCGCAAUGGGCGAAAGCCUGACGGAGCAAUGCCGCGUGUGGGAUGAAGCGUCUACGACGUGUAAACCACUGUCAGGGUCUAGGAACAAUGACCAGACCCAAAGGAAGGGCCGGCUAAUUCAGUGCCAGCAGCCGCGGUAAUACUGAAGGCCCGAGCGUUAAUCGGAAUCACUGGGCUUAAAGGGUGCGCAGGCGGAUUCGCAGGCAUCUCGUGAAAUCCCACGGCUCAACCGUGGAACUGCGGGGUGAACCGCGAGUCUUGAGGCAAGUAGGGGUCAGUAGAACCAUGGGUGGAACGGUGAAAUGUGUAGAUAUCCAUGGGAACGCCAAUGGCGAAGGCAGCUGACUGGGCCUGUCCUGACGCUCAGGCACGAAAGCGUGGGGAGCGAACGGGAUUAGAUACCCCGGUAGUCCACGCCGUAAACGAUGUGUACUAGAUCGAGGUGGUGUUCACGCCUUCUCGGUCGAAGAAAAAUCGUUAAGUACACCGCCUGGGGAGUACGGUCGCAAGGCUAAAACUCAAAGGAAUUGACGGGGGCUCACACAAGCGGUGGAGCAUGUUGCUUAAUUCGGAGGCACGCGAAGAACCUUACCUGGUCUUGACAUGCAUGGAUUAACCUU
RNAcentral lists this ribosomal RNA (909 nucleotides) under uncultured marine bacterium. Its description in RNAcentral is "bacterial SSU rRNA". It matches the Rfam family "Bacterial small subunit ribosomal RNA", at positions 57 to 1002 of the family's 1533-position model. The record is from RNAcentral.